AUUCACCACUGAUUCAUGUAUGUUUGCGAUUUGGCCUAUAGAUUCAAAUCGCUAAGGAGAGGAAUUAACUAUAAUUGUACGAUUCUAAUAACACUAUUAGUUAAUAUAGUCAGCUUAAUUCUCUAGUUCGCAAUAGGAUGCAGAUGAUUUUGGGUGAUGUUUGUUGAUUAUUGGUUUUUAGUUUCUGAAUUCUAUUAAUUUCACGAAUUCCUUUCCCCCCAUGUUCUGAUAAAUAAUUCUGCAGCAGGCUCUACUGCUUGGUCCACUACUUGUUCUUGCA
Molecule: unclassified non-coding RNA, 280 nt
Filed under: Hevea brasiliensis (rubber tree)
Lineage: Eukaryota; Viridiplantae; Streptophyta; Magnoliopsida; Malpighiales; Euphorbiaceae
Source: RNAcentral